RNAcentral lists this ribosomal RNA (253 nucleotides) under uncultured bacterium. Its description in RNAcentral is "partial 16S ribosomal RNA". It matches the Rfam family "Bacterial small subunit ribosomal RNA", at positions 524 to 776 of the family's 1533-position model. The record is from RNAcentral.
UACAGAGGUCCCGAGCGUUGUUCGGAUUCAUUGGGCGUAAAGAGCUCGUAGGCGGUCUGUCGCGUCUGCUGUGAAAACUCGGGGCUUAACCCCGGGCCUGCAGUGGGUACGGGCAGACUAGAGUGCGGUAGGGGAGACUGGAAUUCCUGGUGUAGCGGUGAAAUGCGCAGAUAUCAGGAGGAACACCGGUGGCGAAGGCGGGUCUCUGGGCCGAUAAUGACGCUGAGGCACGAAAGCGUGGGGAGCAAACAGG